This 400-nucleotide ribosomal RNA is filed under the name uncultured bacterium. RNAcentral's name for it is "bacterial SSU rRNA". It matches the Rfam family "Bacterial small subunit ribosomal RNA", at positions 355 to 770 of the family's 1533-position model. The record is from RNAcentral.
UAGGGAAUUUUGCGCAAUGGGCGAAAGCCUGACGCAGCAACACCGCGUGAGCGAUGAAGCCCUUCGGGGUGUAAAGCUCUGUCGGCAGGGACGAAUAAAUGACGGUACCUGCAAAGGAAGCAUCGGCUAACUACGUGCCAGCAGCCGCGGUAAGACGUAGGAUGCAAGCGUUGUCCGGAAUUAUUGGGCGUAAAGAGUUCGUAGGCGGCAUAUCAAGUCUAGUGUUAAAGCCCGGGGCUCAACUCCGGUAGGGCACUGGAUACUGAUAAGCUAGAGUGUAGUAGAGGCAAGGGGAAUUCCCAGUGUAGCGGUGAAAUGCGUAGAUAUUGGGAGGAACACCAGUGGCGUAAGCGCCUUGCUGGGCUAUAACUGACGCUGAGGAACGAAAGCCAGGGGAGCA